This 253-nucleotide ribosomal RNA is filed under the name uncultured bacterium. RNAcentral describes it as "partial 16S ribosomal RNA". It matches the Rfam family "Bacterial small subunit ribosomal RNA", at positions 524 to 776 of the family's 1533-position model. The record is from RNAcentral.
UACAGAGGUCUCAAGCGUUGUUCGGAUUCAUUGGGCGUAAAGGGUGCGUAGGUGGGUCUGUAAGUCAGUGGUGAAAUCCCCGAGCUUAACUUGGGAACUGCCGUUGAUACUAUAGAUCUUGAAUAUCGUGGAGGUAAGCGGAAUAUGUCAUGUAGCGGUGAAAUGCUUAGAUAUGACAUAGAACACCAAUUGCGAAGGCAGCUUACUACACGAUCAUUGACACUGAGGCACGAAAGCGUGGGGAGCAAACAGG